AAAAUGUUUGUUCACAUAUUUUGCAUGAUUUUGUCAGCAAUGAUUUUUCACACCUUGCAGCUUCUUAGUGGCUUAGUAUCUUAAAAGAAAGGGCAUGAAUACAGUAAGAAGUCACUUUUUUACCAAUCAUCUUGCAAAUUGCUCAUAACAAUUGUCUUACUGAUAUCACAGCAGAGUUCAAAAAUGGUUCUGCAAUGUUAAAUAACAUGGCGGUUAGGGGGCAGUUCUCCUUAUAUGGCCAUAGUAAAAUUGAAAAAUUUAACACUCUAGAAACUUUGUGAAACAUUUGUCUAACUGAUAUAGGGGCCAAGUUGUUUAAUGGUUGAGGUCCAUUAAAGGGGCCUUUUCACAGAUUUUGGCAAGUAUUGAAGCUUGUCAUUAAAUGUUUUUUAUGCCCCCUUCGAAGAAGAGGGGGUAUAUUGCUUUGCACAUGUCUGUCGGUUGGUCGGUCGGUCUGUCGGUCCGUCCACCAGGUGGUUUCCGGAUGAUAACUCAAGAACGCUUCGGCCUAGGAUCAUGAAACUUAAUAGGAACAUUGAUCAUGAUUCGAUUUACCAUGUGCUGACAUGGGAAUUUUAGCAAACAGAAUUGGACCGACUGUUUGGGAUUUUCAAUCGGUCUUUCAUGACCCCAAUCGGUAAAGGACCGCCAAAACCGAAAAAAAUAUGAUCCCUGAUAUAUAUACAUAUUGUUAAAUAGAUUUCCGUGUGUUAUGUAGGUGUAGAAUCAGUCGUCACAGAAUUCAUUGAUUUCAUGUUGAUAUGCAUUGCAUUUCUUUUGCAGUUAAUGCGUUCACUGACUAGCGAAUGAUAAUCUCUGACUUUUAUAAUGUGAAAAAAGCAUUGACCUUGACCAGAUUCAAUCGUUGACCUUGAUAUUGUAGAUAUGCGUUUACCUCAAUCAUGAAAAUUAUCAUUGACCUUGAUGAUAUACAUAUACGUUUACCUUACUCAUGAAAAUUAUCAUUGACCUUGAUAAUGUAUAUAUGCGUUUACCUUAAUUAUGAAAAUAAUAAUUGACCUUGAUAAUGUCGAUAUGCAUUUACCUUAAUUAUGAAAAUUAUAAUUGACCUUGAUAAUGUUGAUAUACAUUUACCUUGAUAAUGAAAAUUAUCAUCGACCUUGAUAAUGUUGACGUGUGUUUACCUUAAUCAUGAAAAUUAUCAUUGACCUUGAUAAUGUAGAUAUGCGUUUACCUUAAUCGUGAAAAUUAUCAUUGAACUUGAUCAAAUGAAUAAUCAUUUAAUUUUAUUUAUAAACACUCAAUGACAAUUACAAAUUAUAAUGUACUGUGAUAAAACAGAUUAUCGUUUAAAUUGAGUAUGUGUAAAAUUAUGCAUGUUUAUUUGAACUGCAAAAAUACUGCAAUAUGCCACAACAAGUUUUAGACCUGGCUGCAUUUCCUUAAAGUCAUAAUCAGGAGCUACCCUCUUUGUUGAAAAGACCUCUAAACCUUGCUAGAGGUAAUAGCUGACAGAGUAGCUCCUGGACAGACUGUGCAGGUGCGCAGGCUAUCUAACAGAGUAGCUCCUGAACAGACUGUGCAGGUGCGGAGGCUAUCUGACAGAGUAGCUCCUGGACAGACUGGGCAGGUGCGCAGGCUAUCUGACAGAG
This is a long non-coding RNA of Dreissena polymorpha, 1613 nucleotides long. RefSeq lists it as uncharacterized. The record is from RefSeq and is a predicted model, not a curated record. NCBI's taxonomy places the organism in Eukaryota, Metazoa, Mollusca, Bivalvia, Myida, Dreissenidae. The transcript has 3 exons.